CCUACGGGAGGCAGCAGUGGGGAAUAUUGCACAAUGGGGGAAACCCUGAUGCAGCGACGCCGCGUGAGUGAAGAAGUAAUUCGUUAUGUAAAGCUCUAUCAGCAGGGAAGAAAAUGACGGUACCUGAGUAAGAAGCCCCGGCUAAAUACGUGCCAGCAGCCGCGGUAACACGUAGGGGGCAAGCGUUAUCCGGAUUUACUGGGUGUAAAGGGGACGGAGACGGCAGUGCAAGACUGUAGUGAAAGGCGGGGGCCUAACCCCCGGACUGCUCGGGAAACUGGACGGCUGGAGUGCAGGAGAGGUAAGGGGAAUUCCUAGUGUAGCGGUGAAAUGCGUAGAUAUUAGGAGGAACACCAGUGGCGAAGGCGGCUUACUGGACUGUAACUGACGUUGAGGCUCGAAAGCGUGGGGAGCAAACAGGAGUAGAUACCCCGGUAGUC
RNAcentral lists this ribosomal RNA (440 nucleotides) under uncultured bacterium. Its description in RNAcentral is "partial 16S ribosomal RNA". It matches the Rfam family "Bacterial small subunit ribosomal RNA", at positions 338 to 795 of the family's 1533-position model. The record is from RNAcentral.